RNAcentral lists this ribosomal RNA (325 nucleotides) under uncultured eukaryote. RNAcentral describes it as "partial 18S ribosomal RNA". It matches the Rfam family "Eukaryotic small subunit ribosomal RNA", at positions 1470 to 1796 of the family's 1831-position model. The record is from RNAcentral.
CCCUUAGAUGUUCUGGGCCGCACGCGCGCUACACUGACUGGUUCAUCGAGUAUACAACCUUGACUGAUAGGUCUGGGUAAUCUUCUCAAAGCCAGUCGUGCUGGGGAUAGAUUAUUGUAAUUUUUAAUCUUCAACGAGGAAUUCCUAGUAAACGCGAGUCAUCAACUCGCAUUGAUUACGUCCCUGCCCUUUGUACACACCGCCCGUCGCUCCUACCGAUUGAAUGCUCAGGUGAGCCAUUCGGACUUUCAUCAUGCUGGUUUCCAGUUUUGAUGAAGGAAAGUCUUGCGAACCUUAUCAUUUAGAGGAAGGAGAAGUCGUAACA